AAUGGGGUAGUCGAUGGACAAUUGGUUAAUAUUCCAAUACUUGUAUUUAUUGCGAUGGGGUGACGGAGUAGUGAAAGUCCUGCGUACUGACGGAAUAGUACGUUAAAACUUGUAGGUAUAAGAUUCGUAGGUAAAUCCGCUUAUCUUGCUGAAAGUGAUAGUACUCUAAGUCUUCGGACGAGGAGAUAUGGACCUAAUCAGACUUCCAAGAAAAACCUCUAAGUAAUGUAUGUGGUACCCGUACCGUAAACCGACACAGGUAGUCGAGGAGAGUAUCCUCAGGCGCUCGAGUGAUCCGUGGCUAAGGAACUAGGCAAAAUGGCCCUGUAACUUCGGGAGAAGGGGCGCUUCCUCUGUAAAGAGAAGCCGCAGUGAAUAGGCCCAGGCGACUGUUUAUCAAAAACACAUGGCUUUGCAAAAUCGAAAGAUGAAGUAUAAGGCCUGACACCUGCCCGGUGCCGGAAGGUUAAGUGGAGAUGUUAGCUUCGGCGACGCAUUCAAAUGAAGCCCCGGUAAACGGCGGCCGUAACGAUAACGGUCCUAAGGUAGCGAA
RNAcentral lists this ribosomal RNA (553 nucleotides) under Strombidinopsis acuminata. Its description in RNAcentral is "partial Bacterial large subunit ribosomal RNA". It matches the Rfam family "Bacterial large subunit ribosomal RNA", at positions 1405 to 1963 of the family's 2925-position model. Lineage: Eukaryota; Ciliophora; Spirotrichea; Choreotrichida; Strombidinopsidae. The record is from RNAcentral.